This 84-nucleotide transfer RNA is filed under the name Candidatus Nealsonbacteria bacterium RIFOXYB1_FULL_40_15. RNAcentral describes it as "tRNA-Leu". It matches the Rfam family "tRNA". From Rfam's summary of the family: Transfer RNA (tRNA) molecules are approximately 80 nucleotides in length. Their secondary structure includes four short double-helical elements and three loops (D, anti-codon, and T loops). The record is from RNAcentral. RNAcentral also lists the same sequence under 1 other name. Lineage: Bacteria; Candidatus Nealsoniibacteriota.
GCCGCGGUGGCGGAAUUGGCUAUACGCGUAUGCCUUAGGAGCAUAUUCCCAAAAGGAUUGUGGGUUCGACUCCCACCCGCGGCA